UGGCUCAGUGGUAGAGUGCUUGCCUUACAUGCAUGAGGCCCUGGGUUCAAUUCCUUA
This 57-nucleotide transfer RNA is filed under the name Dipodomys ordii (Ord's kangaroo rat). It matches the Rfam family "tRNA", at positions 8 to 63 of the family's 71-position model. From Rfam's summary of the family: Transfer RNA (tRNA) molecules are approximately 80 nucleotides in length. The record is from Rfam by way of RNAcentral. Lineage: Eukaryota; Metazoa; Chordata; Mammalia; Rodentia; Heteromyidae.